Molecule: long non-coding RNA, 2564 nt
Filed under: Homo sapiens (human)
Lineage: Eukaryota; Metazoa; Chordata; Mammalia; Primates; Hominidae
Description: HSALNT0354600
Source: RNAcentral
CUCUUUGUUAUCUGCCUUUCGUUGGCUGCACAUAGCUUGAAUGUCCCUGUUGGGUGAUGUGCUCACAUGCAUGUUUAUAUGUGUUGGUAUCUGUGUGUUGCCUUUGUUUUUGUUUAGCUGGCUGAGGUGACUGCAUUGUGUAUACCUGUAUGGGAUGGAUUGCAUUCAUUUGUGAGUCUGCACCCUAUAUGAUUUCUCUAAAUCCCCUGGCUGCAUGCUGUGUCUGUGUGGGGUAUGUUGCAUUUGUUGUUUGUAGGUACAACUGCAUAUUCUGUGUGUUCCCCUGUGUCUCUGCCUCUGUGAAAUGUGUCUGUGUGUUUUCCCUGCCAGCUCCUCCUCCCCUUCGGGUGCCCCAGCCUCUCUCCCUGCCUUCUCCUCCCCAGGCUGUGACCACUCUCAGCUGACACCUCCGCUGCUCUGGCAACCCAAGAACAGCCUGGAGAAAGGUCAGCUGGCCGCCUUCCCCAGGGCCUGCCUGGAUCCUUGGACCCCAGUGUUGCGUGGUGUGGGAGCGCCCUCUGUUGGCUGUAUGGGCCAUGAACACCACUGGAAACAGACUUCCUCUUUCCCUUGCUGCUCACCCCUGAGACUUCCAGCCUUCUUAAUAAGGGACUUUAGGAGAGGAAUGGGUAGGGUCGCCUAUAAUUUGCCGUUGAAAGCGAGAUGUUUUGGAGAAUGAAAGAGGGUGUGAAUAAGUGCACUGAGAUACUGAGUAUUCGGCAGAUGCGUCUUAAGCAGAUGGUGAGGAAGGCUUCCCUGACCGCCUACUUGGGUCUCAGCCCCAUGGGCAUAAGCCAACAAAAUGUGUGCUAGCCCUCACUGGUGAAAGGGUCAGCUAUUCCCAAUUUAUGUUUGAGGAAGUCAGAAUCUCAAAUCUAUGCUUACCCAAUGACUUCACGCUUUCCCUUGGGAAUAAUUUCCCAAGACCCCAAUUUCCCCUUUGCAGCAGGGACCCAAGGUGGAGACCCAAGGGUUCCAGUUCCAGAAAGAGGGAGGACUGAAAUGUUUCUAGGGGAUUUAACAGAAAGAGGUCAAAGGCACUCUUGUGAGAAGAAAGGGAAUAGUUAUAGAGGUACCCAGGACUUGUAAUGCCCCAGGUGCGUGACUCUGACAGCCUCAAGAGGAAGAGAAAGGUGCUGUGUGCACACAUGUGGGUACAUGCGUGCACACAUGUGGGUACAUGCACACACACACACACACACACAUAUAUACACACACACACAUCAGGAGGCAGAACAUCCAACAGCCUGCAUGGCUAAUAUCGUGGGGUUUGAGAAUAUACACAUUUACUAUUUCCUGCGUUAUAGAAGAAACACAACCAAAGGCACCAUUUUAUGCAAAAACAUGAGUUUUCAUUGCAUUCCUUGUGCUGGUGAUUAAAGAAGAGGCUCUGAUAAGCAAUGGCUAUUCUUUAACUCAGGAUGACAGCUCCAGGUGAACCAAAAGACCACUUGGCCCAAUUGGUCGAAAGUGUGUUCUUCAGAACAUUACCUCCCAUGAGACAUUAAUAGUUAUUUGAAGGUGUGGCCAAAUAAAUUUGAAAAAUACAGGAUUAAAUAAAGUUAAACAGAUUUUUUUUCUCAUGGGAUAUCUCAGAGCCUUUAAUAUGAUAAUGUCUUAUGAAUUUCUAAGAAAGGAGGAGACUGUACUCAGCAUUUCACAAAAGAUAUGAAUAAUGGAUUUUUUUUCCAGAAUGUUAUGGGACAAAAUUCUAAAUUUACACAUGGGCAAAGCAAGACCCCAAGUAGCAUAAUUCAGUUAUUAUUAAAUAACUAUUUACUACAAGAAUCAUGUUUUUUGUUUGUUUGCUUUUGCUUUUGUGUGUUUGUUUUAGUUAAUCUCUUUGGAUCUUGUACUAACCUACACAGGUAGGUACUAUGUUAUCAUGUUAAAUGACAGAUGAGAAGAGAGACUCAGAGAAGUGAAGUGGUUUGUCCCAAGUUAUGGCAUUGGUCAGUGACAGCAACACUCAAUACCAGGCACCUCUCUAUAAACCAUAUACAACUUCCACUUUGCCAACUCCUGGAAUUCAUCCUAUAUCCAGGAGGCCGGUGUGGAGCAGUGGCCAGAUGCAGCUGUGGACAAUGAAAAGAGGAAGGAGGACUGAUCAGUCCCCUAAGAAGCAGUUACUAAUAUGUCAGGCACUGACUAGGCAUACGACCUGGUGUUUCACAUAUCUCUCAUGACAACCUUGUGAAUGGGGAUUAAUAUCCCUAUUAUACAUGCAAGAAAACUGGGGCUCAGGGAUAUUGAGUUAUUUGACCUAAUUACAAAUCUGAUGAGGAAACUGAGGCUCAGACUAAUUCAUCCAAAGUCACGCACAGUUGGUGAUGGGGCUAGGAUCUGAAAUCAGAAUCCAAGUGCAGAACUACAGUGACUUUCAAAGAACUAACUCAGAGGCCAGUAAAAUGGGAAGACACAAGAAUACAUGUUAUAGGCCAGGCACGGUGGCUCAUGCCUGUAACCUCAGCAUUUUGGGUAGUCAAGGUGACUGAAUUGCUUGAGCUCAAGAGUUGCAGACCAGCCUGGGAAACAUGGAAAAACCCCAUCUCUAUAAAACAAAA